AGAGUUUGAUCAUGGCUCAGAACGAACGCUGGCGGCAGGCUUAACACAUGCAAGUCGAACGAGAAGCUUACUUCGGUAAGUGGACAGUGGCAGACGGGUGAGUAACGCGUGGCAACCUACCUUUUUCUACGGAACAACAGUUGGAAACGACUGCUAAUACCGUAUACGCCCUCCGGGGGAAAGAUUUAUCGGUGAAAGAUGGGGCCGCAUUAGAUUAGCUAGUUGGUGAGGUAAUGGCUCACCAAGGCGACGAUCUAUAGCUGGUCUGAGAGGAUGAUCAGCCACACUGGGACUGAGACACGGCCCAGACUCCUACGGGAGGCAGCAGUGGGGAAUAUUGGACAAUGGGGGCAACCCUGAUCCAGCCAUGCCGCGUGAAUGAUGAAGGCCUUAGGGUUGUAAAAUUCUUUCGCUAGGGAUGAUAAUGACAGUACCUAGUAAAGAAGCCCCGGCUAACUCCGUGCCAGCAGCCGCGGUAAUACGGAGGGGGCUAGCGUUGUUCGGAAUUACCGGGCGUAAAGCGUGCGUAGGCGGAUUAUUAAGUUAGGGGUGAAAUCCCGGGGCUCAACCUCGGAACUGCCUCUAAAACUGGUAAUCUAGAGAUAUGGAGAGGUAAGUGGAAUUCCUAGUGUAGAGGUGAAAUUCGUAGAUAUUAGGAGGAACACCAGAGGCGAAGGCGGCUUACUGGACAUAUACUGACGCUGAGGCACGAAAGUGUGGGUAGCAAACAGGAUUAGAUACCCUGGUAGUCCACACCGUAAACGAUGAGAGCUAGUUGUCUGCAGCAUGCCUGUAGGUGACGCAGCUAACGCAUUAAGCUCUCGCCUGGGGAGUACGGUCGCAAGAUUAAACUCAAGGGAUUGACGG
RNAcentral lists this ribosomal RNA (867 nucleotides) under uncultured bacterium. RNAcentral's name for it is "bacterial SSU rRNA". It matches the Rfam family "Bacterial small subunit ribosomal RNA", at positions 8 to 916 of the family's 1533-position model. The record is from RNAcentral.